Hypanus sabinus (Atlantic stingray) is the source of this 849-nucleotide long non-coding RNA. RefSeq lists it as uncharacterized. The transcript has 2 exons. Lineage: Eukaryota; Metazoa; Chordata; Chondrichthyes; Myliobatiformes; Dasyatidae. The record is from RefSeq and is a predicted model, not a curated record.
UUCACACACAGACACGGGCGGGAAGAGGCGCUCCAUUUUGGUGGCAAGUCAGGACGGGAGAGAGGACUUGUUGGCGCCGUGAGCCGCUACCCCCACCCACCACCCCGCCCCGCUCCGCUCCGCUCCGCUGCAACAGUUCCGCCCGCAUCCCGGCCGGGGAAGUGGUGGCGCUGUAGCUCAACGUCCCCUCCUUCCCUCCCCCACACGCUCCGUGUGACCGGAUGAGCGCGGCCCCCGCUUCCGCACCUUCUGCAUCGGGGACAAAGGGAGUCGCAGCGGCCCUCGGCCCGGACCCGCGCUCACGCGCCGACGACCCCCUCGCCACCCUCCUUCCCUCUCCUCCCAUCGCGGCUCGCCCGGGCGGGCGAACGAAAGCCGCUAGCCCAGAAUAAGAAAAUGAUGUAUUUGCGGGAUCGGAGGGAGAAACUGCUUUCCUUUAUUGUGUGCUCCAGCAGUACUUCAUAUAAAUUAUUGGCAUGAGGCGGUAAUAAUCGUCAACAAGAGAGGUCCUCACGUUCACUGGACUGUGUGUAGCAGCUCUCCUUAGCUUCGGGGCUUUUAAAAUGCUUUUGGGGGCAGCUGGAUGGAGACAUUUUGUGAAGAAGUAGAAGCAGGAAUUUAAUACGCUGACCAUAACCUCUCAUUCCACCGCUGAUGUCAUUAGGGUCCAUGCACAAAAUGUCUGCGUUUGCAAUACGCCUUUGGCCAAUAGUUUGAAAGCAAAUGCAGGCUCCAAAAAGAAGCUGGAUUUAACUGUAUCACCUAGUCCCCUCUGUGAUUAUUGAGGGAAAUUCACUAGUGUAUUUAUCAAUGUAAAAAUAAAUGCAAGCAUUGAGAUUCAGUGUGAAA